This is a long non-coding RNA of Hordeum vulgare subsp. vulgare (domesticated barley), 385 nucleotides long. RefSeq lists it as uncharacterized. The transcript has 2 exons. The record is from RefSeq and is a predicted model, not a curated record. NCBI's taxonomy places the organism in Eukaryota, Viridiplantae, Streptophyta, Magnoliopsida, Poales, Poaceae.
AUUAAAAUGCCAGUGAGCAGCACGGGUACCUGGUACUCUGCUAGUAUUUGAUCAACACUAACUUUAUUUUAUGUUCAUGCAGGAAAUGGACUGAUUCCUUUGAAAUUCCUAUGUUGAAAACAGUCCCUUACUCCACUCAGGUGAAGUAUAAAGCCAAGUGUGAAGCUAUGAACCAUAUUAACAAAGAGUAGCAUAUGUAUUGUAAUAGUAGGCAGUAGUACGUAUAUCUGGGUUGUGAUGUAGUGUAAAUAUUGUAAUAGACAAAUUUAAUGUUGGUUUUGACGAAUUUCAUUUGCUCCCUAGCAUGUUUGAAAUAUUGAUUCUGAAUGUGAUUUGAAUACCUAUGAAAUGGCAACUUGACAAGGGGACCAAGUUAUGAUAUUUA